Cucumis melo (muskmelon) is the source of this 3127-nucleotide RNA transcript. RefSeq lists it as uncharacterized. NCBI's taxonomy places the organism in Eukaryota, Viridiplantae, Streptophyta, Magnoliopsida, Cucurbitales, Cucurbitaceae. The transcript is spliced from 16 exons. The record is from RefSeq and is a predicted model, not a curated record.
UUUUUUUUUUGAUUUUCGUGGGAGGUGUUGUCUUCGAUCUCUGUUUCGUUUCUUCUUCCUCUUCCUCUUCCUCUUGUUCUUGUUCUUCUUCUUCUUUUAGGUUUUCUUCUUCUUCUUGCAGGAGAUCUUUCUACCCAAUUUCAACCUCCUCCUCACCUCACCUGAAUUUCACCAUCUUCUCCGGCGAUCGUUACUUCUAAAUUAAUACAGCACCAUCCCCUUUCCCCAUUUCACUUUGUUUUCGGAUUAAUUCCCUCCUAAUUUCUCCUUUUCCGAUCCAAAUGCCGCACAAUUUCGGAGCAUGACGUUUUCUCUUGUAAAUGAUGAGAGCUUCAUUUGGGGCUUUUGACGAAUCAAAUUCUCCUUCUACAUCAACCCCACCUCUCCCUCCUCACGUUUCUCACCCUCCUCUGCCCUACCCCACCAACAGGCAAAGAGUCAGUAAUGUUUUUCAACUUUUAGCCCAGAGGGAGGUUUCACCCCAAACGAAGCGUGCAUCAAGGAGGUUUUGGGGAGAUUCUCAUGACCGCCAAUGUGAUUCGGUUGGGCCAAGAUGUGAAGCAGCUAGAGAUGCUAAACGGGGUCUUAUCUCGUGGGUUGAGGCUGAAUCACUACGGCAUCUUUCAGCUAAAUAUUGUCCUCUUUUGCCUCCUCCAAGGUCGACGAUUGCAGCAGCAUUCAGCCCUGAUGGGAGAACGCUUGCUUCUACGCAUGGAGAUCAUACUGUAAAAAUCAUUGAUUGCCAAACUGGUACCUGCUUAAAGGUGCUGAGUGGUCAUCGUAGAACCCCUUGGGUGGUCAGAUUCCAUCCACUGUACCCUGAAAUUCUUGCUAGUGGCAGCUUGGAUUAUGAUGUUCGACUAUGGGAUGCAAACACUGCAGAAUGCAUUGGCUCGCGUGAUUUCUAUCGUCCCAUUGCGUCCAUAGCUUUCCAUGCCCAAGGAGAACUUCUUGCUGUGGCAUCAGGUCAUAAGCUUUACAUUUGGCACUACAAUAAAAGAGGGGAGACACCCUCACCAACCAUUGUUUUAAGGACACGGCGGUCAUUGCGUGCUGUGCAUUUUCAUCCUCAUGCAGCCCAAUUCCUUUUAACUGCCGAGGUCAAUGAUCUCGAUACAUCAGAAUCUGCCAUAACAUUAGCAACAUCUCCUGGUUAUGUGCAAUAUCCACCUCCUACCGUAUAUUUUGCUGAUGCACAUUCUUCUGAUCGUUCUAGUUUGAUGGAUGGCCUGCCUUUGAUGUCCUUUCCUCUGUUGAUAUGGCCUUCAUUUUCUAAAGAAAAUAGGAGAAUGUCCAUGCAGCGAACGGAAGGAGAUCAUGGUGCAGGGAGAUUACAAAGAGUUGAUCCUUCUGCCUCAGUGCGGCUUUUAACAUAUUCAACACCAUCAGGACAGUAUGAACUUGUGUUGUCACCCAUUGAACCUAAUAGCUCAUCACCAGUUCCAGAAGAAACUGGAACCAAUCAUUAUUCAAGUGAAAUGGAAACAGAAGUUUCAGAAACUGCUGGGGAAGCUUCAGAGAAUAUGGAAGUGCAGACCGAAGUGAGGAAUAAUCAAAAUUUUCCUUUUAAUGACCCUUGGGAACUACCUUUCUUGCAAGGGUGGUUAAUUGGCCAAAGUCAAGCUAGUCAGCAUGCUCUUCGGCCACACAGUGAUGAUGUCCGUGAAAAUUCCUCUGCACCUUCUGAUAUAGGUGGAAUUCAUGCUUCACUUACUUCGUUAAUUCCUACCAGUGCUAGCCAAAGCAGAGUUGGUAGGAGAUCUAGUUCAAGACACCGUUCUAUGCGUUCUCGUGUGCCUGUGCCUGUGAGUGGUUCAGAUGAAGGUGGUAGUAUGAGUAACUCAAUUCCUGAUGAAAGUGAUCCACAGCCUAUUGUCAGUAGAAUUCAAUCUGAGCUUGCUGCCUCUUUGGCAGCUGUAGCAGCUGCUGAGUUGCCUUGUACUGUGAAACUCAGGAUAUGGUCACAUGAUGUUAAAAAUCCUUGUGCUCCACUGGAUGAUGAAAGAUGUCGGUUAAUAAUUCCGCAUGCUGUUCUUUGUAGUGAAAUGGGUGCCCACUUUUCACCUUGUGGGAGAUUUUUGGCAGCAUGUGUGGCAUGCAUGUUGCCACAUAUGGAAGCUGAUCCGGGAUUCCAAAGCCAUGCUAAUAGUGAUGCAACUGGUGCUGCAACAUCACCUACACGACACCCAAUUUCUGCUCAGCAAGUCAUGUAUGAGCUUCGGAUAUACUCUUUGGAGGAGGCAACGUUCGGCGUGGUACUAGCAUCUCGAGCCAUAAGAGCUGCCCAUUGUCUAACAUCUAUACAGUUCUCUCCCACAUCAGAACAUCUAUUACUUGCUUACGGCCGCCGACAUAGUUCACUUCUUAAGAGUGUUGUUGUAGAUGGAGAGACAACUGUGCCCAUAUACACUAUACUUGAGGUUUACAGAGUUUCUAACAUGGAACUUGUGAGGGUUCUUCCAAGUGCCGAGGAUGAGGUAAAUGUGGCAUGCUUUCAUCCCUCCGUGGGAGGUGGUGUAGUCUACGGGACUAAGGAGGGGAAGUUGAGAAUCCUCCAAUACGACAGUUCCCAAGCCAUUAAUCAUUCAACGUAUGGUUUUCUCGAUGAAAAUAUGCUUGAGGUUCCAACGUAUGCCCUAGAAUGCUAGUAAUUGUCGAUCAUAACAUGAGAUUCGGCGCAGCUUGACUGGUCAAACACCUAAAGUAGAAUCUGGAAACAAUUGAAGCUCCAUUUACAUUUCAUAUAAAUGUCAAUAAAAUGUGAAUAGUCUUGAUUCUCAGCUAUACGAAACAGAAUUAUGAUUCAGGGUGGAUGUGCUUGCGUGUGCUUUUCAAUUAGGCUCAGAGCAAAGCUGAACAGAUCGAUCCAUCAUUUACUCAGUAUUACUGCAAAUCUACCAGAGGCAUGUCAAAAUUCAGUUUGGCGCACCAUUGUUGUACAAGCUUGUAUUUUUCUGUUUGUAAUUUAAAAACUGUUAUGGUGCUUACUCAAUUUGAUCUUUACCUGGAAUUACAUAUACAGAUAUUAAAAAAAAAAAAAAAAAAAAAAAGCAAAUUUCAAGGUCGUGAUUAUUGUAUGUGCUUUGUUUUGCCUUUAAUUCCAGACUUUUGAUUUAAAUUUGAUGGA